Molecule: ribosomal RNA, 457 nt
Filed under: uncultured organism
Description: partial 16S ribosomal RNA
Rfam family: Bacterial small subunit ribosomal RNA
Source: RNAcentral
CACUCCUACGGGAGGCAGCAGUGGGGAAUAUUGCACAAUGGGCGCAAGCCUGAUGCAGCGACGCCGCGUGGGGGAUGAAGGCCUUCGGGUUGUAAACUCCUUUCGCUAGGGACGAAGCUUUUUUGUGACGGUACCUAGAUAAGAAGCACCGGCUAACUACGUGCCAGCAGCCGCGGUAAUACGUAGGGUGCGAGCGUUGUCCGGAAUUACUGGGCGUAAAGGGCUCGUAGGUGGUUUGUCGCGUCGUCUGUGAAAUUCUGGGGCUUAACUCCGGGCGUGCAGGCGAUACGGGCAUAACUUGAGUGCUGUAGGGGUAACUGGAAUUCCUGGUGUAGCGGUGAAAUGCGCAGAUAUCAGGAGGAACACCGAUGGCGAAGGCAGGUUACUGGGCAGUUACUGACGCUGAGGAGCGAAAGCAUGGGUAGCGAACAGGAUUAGAAACCCCAGUAGUCCCAUG